This 327-nucleotide ribosomal RNA is filed under the name uncultured Neocallimastigales. RNAcentral's name for it is "partial large subunit ribosomal RNA". The record is from RNAcentral. Lineage: Eukaryota; Fungi; Neocallimastigomycota; Neocallimastigomycetes; Neocallimastigales.
GUUGUUUUCUCGAAAAUCAAUUCAUAAUGGCUUGAUGUUAAGUUUUAAGACUUUAUCAGCUUGUUUCUUAAUUUUCUUGUCUUUGUGAAUGCACUUUUCGUUUAACAAGUCAACAUCAAUUUCUUUUGUUGUAAAAGGGUAAGAGGAAGGUGGCUUUCUCUUCGGAGAAAGUGUUUAUAGCCUUUUACCUCUGCAAUCGGAGAGAUUGAGGUCUGCAGCGUAGACUCUUCGGGGUUAGAUACAUUUGUGCUAAGUUAUAGCUUUUUAUAGACAACAUGUUGACUAUGAUUAGUCUUGUAGCUUACUCGCUUAUGCUAUUUUACCUAC